UCAUCGGCCCUUUUCAGGGCCACCACUUAUUAAAG
Non-coding RNA from Daphnia magna, 35 nucleotides. The record is from Rfam. NCBI's taxonomy places the organism in Eukaryota, Metazoa, Arthropoda, Branchiopoda, Diplostraca, Daphniidae.